CCUACGGGUGGCAGCAGUGAGGAAUAUUGGUCAAUGGGCGUAAGCCUGAACCAGCCAAGUCGCGUGAGGGAUGAAGGUUCUAUGGAUCGUAAACCUCUUUUAUAAGGGAAUAAAGUGUGGGACGUGUCCUAUUUUGCAUGUACCUUAUGAAUAAGGAUCGGCUAACUCCGUUCCAGCAGCCGCGGUAAUAUGGAGGAUCCGAGCGUUAUCCGGAUUUAUUGGGUUUAAAGGGUGCGUAGGCGGCCUUUUAAGUUAGCGGUGAAAGUCUGUGGCUCAACCAUAGAAUUGCCGUUGAAACUGGGGGUCUUGAGUGUGUUUGAGGCAGGCGGAAGGCGAGGUGUAGCGGUGAAAUGCUUAGAUAUCACGCAGAACCCCAGUGGCGAAGGCGGCCUGCCAGGCCAUGACUGACGCUGAUGCACGAAAGCGUGGGGAUCAAACAGGAUUAGAUACCCGAGUAGUC
This 460-nucleotide ribosomal RNA is filed under the name uncultured bacterium. RNAcentral's name for it is "partial 16S ribosomal RNA". It matches the Rfam family "Bacterial small subunit ribosomal RNA", at positions 338 to 795 of the family's 1533-position model. The record is from RNAcentral.